ACCAGAGUGGUGUAGUGGUUUGAACAUUGGACUAUGACUCCAGAGAUCAGAGUUAAAUUCCCUGCUCAGCCA
This is a non-coding RNA of Phrynosoma platyrhinos (Desert horned lizard), 72 nucleotides long. Lineage: Eukaryota; Metazoa; Chordata; Lepidosauria; Squamata; Phrynosomatidae. The record is from the annotation of a GenBank genome assembly.